GUGCAGCCCUGGAUGUCCCUAUCCAUUGGUGAUGUGCACAGGAACCAGUGGGAGCAAGCAGGAAAAGUGCAAGCAGGGAAAAAAGAAAAGAAAAAAUGUCAUGGAGAUUUCCAGAAAAGGAGCAAAGAAGGAAAGUAGGCUUUCUGAGUCUAUACAAGGGGCUCAGUGGCAGCUGGCCCUAGGUGACAUAGGGGGUUGAAGUACUGGCAUUCAGGAGUCUCCUCUCACAGCGUGUGCAUCAUCAGGUUUGAGCUCCAGGGGUGCACAGCCUUGACCCACUAUCUGGAUUUGGAUGGGAGUGUCCAAGGUGAGCUAAGUUCUUCCAGCACACUGCUGACCACGGGCUAGGCCAGUGCAGGUCCCAUGGGUCCACAGGGGCAGCAGCCUGGCCACAGAAUCCUUUAUGGUCAUCAGGCUGGCAGUAGCACCUUAUAAUCUGAUGUCACCGUUGUCAGAGAACCAGAGAAGAAUUCUUAGUGGGAUCGUGGAGGUAUAUCAUAGUCCCAUCACAUGGUGAAGCAGUCAAUCCAAAGGCCCAGAUCUAGUGUGGAUAAAGGCCCACACAAACUAAACAGGCAAUGGCCAUCAGCCUCUUUGCCUUAGUGAGUGAGAGCUGUCACAUAGGCCUGUCCCAGGGUGAACCAGUGGACUUCCCCCUUAGUGGUGUUCCAGGCCCACUCCCACAACUGAGGGGUAGUUCCUAAAAGCAGCCAUACUCCUCCAGGGCCAUGUUCCUUCAUUUAUAAAUCCUGGGUCAUAGUUAUCCAAUUUCCAACCCAUGUAGUAGCCCAUGGUGGCAAGUGGGGCCCAAAUAUCUGCCUGACCAUGAAGCUCAAAGCAACCAGUGAGAGACUCUGGUGACUGGAGCACAGUGGGUCAUCCCGUGAGGAAGGUCUUCAGGACCAUCUUAAUAAGCAAAGGUCAGGCAUUGGGUCAAUGUCAUUGAGAUCUGAGCCCCUGUCUAGUUGCUUUGAUACUGUGGCUUAGGCAGGUGGACACAAAAGUGGCUCGUGCAAUCCCUCCAAGGAAGGUUCAGGUCAGGGUUCUGGCGCUCCCAACCCAGGAAUCCUUAGUUGCCCCAGAAAGUGAAACAAUGGGAGAAGGCUGGAUUUAAAAUAAGGGCAUGUAGUGAGGGCUUGUGCACUUGGAAUAAAUGGCCCAAAUAGUACAGAAACAUUUUGGUGCUUGUUCUAGGAUAUCUAAAUCCAAUCAGUUGUGGUCAUCUUACUGGACUUGCACAAGUUUAGCUUGGAGCAGACUGCCAUGUCCUCUUCUAUGUCAGCCUGGCAAGACCAGAUACAUUUCCAUGGUUACUGGCAGGGUUAAAGGCCCUGUAUCUGCUGUUGACAGGGCACCAGGCUCCCCUGGAAGGGCAGCCCAGACAUUGGUGUAGGCUAGGAAGGUGCAGAAAGCCAAGGAGUCCUCACACAGCCACUAUCAGCAUGCUGCAAGAGCCCAUGCAGGCUUUGGUAGAGGUGGUUAUACAAAUGGGCAUGGAUGGGUUUGAGUUAGCACUUUCUUGGCAAAGGAUCUAAUUGGCUGAGGCAGAACUGCUGAUAUUUGCUGGUGAGAAAGGAGUGGGUAAUGAGGAAGAGGCAAAUAAAGUAGACAAGGAGAGAGUGAAUGGCACAACCCCAGAGUCAGGGCAGUGCCCACAUACUGCUUUCAGCCUCUCAUUGCGCCAGCAGCACCAGUCACAGGAAUUAGAUAGCUUGUCCCAGGUUGGAACAGAGUCACUUUCUACUCAUUCCAACCUUCCACUAAUAAGCAUAAGCACAAACUAAGGAGGUAGGAGCAGGGGAAAUGUACUCACUUAGGUGGAAGCAAGGCGGUCCUGGCCCACGUCAUAGUCUUUUGUUGGGCACAGGAGAGGAAUAAGGUCAUUCUCUUGUCCAAGGGUGUGCCUUCACUAUAAAACAGAGAAAGAUCAUAGCUAGAGAUUAUUCCCAGGGUGUCUUUUUCUUCAUUGGCCACUCAUUCUGUGGGGCCAGAUCAUAGUGCAACUACUUCCAUUUGUUCCCCCAUGGAGUGUGGUUAGAUGCUCAGUGAUGAGUGAGCCCCAUGAUGGCUGGGGAACCCAAUAAUUAGCACAAGCGCUCCUCUAUGAUAGUCAAUGGUGGACAUGCUGUGCUAGUAGCCACAGUAUCUGGUACUGGCACUCCCUCCUCAUCUUGUACCAAUUCCUCAUCUCCUGGGUACUGGAAACAGAUAUUGACAUCAAAUAUCCACACACCUGUCAGAUUUUCUAUUGGAAUAGGCAGAGUAUAGUCACUAGUUUUGGGGGUUAAGGUGUUUUGUUGAAAUUGCUACAGUAUCUUCUGUUGGAUUAUAGAAAACCUGUCUGCUCUAGCCAUACCUUAAGGGGACCUAGUCCUCGUUGCAUGGAAUCUAGUCAUAGAACAUAGGCCUGGGUCUAGAAGUGCAUUAUUAGCCGUGGCCACCUGGCUAUGCCCGUCUGCAUAGAAAUUGUGGAAUGAAGAAGGGUCAGUUCUGCCAUUGGGAAGAGAGACAUGAUCGACAAAGAUGGUGACAAGGGAAACUAAGUAUUUCUACAAAGACAUGGCCUGGGUCUCUCAACCUCGUACCAUCCAUUAUCUGACAACCCCCUCAUGACUCCAUAGGGUGAGGCCAUUGGUGCUGGACUAGGAAGAUGUAUGACGAAUCUUUGCUUACUAAAGCAAAAGGGCAAGCAGGAACCACAGACUCUGUACAUACUGCACAUGCUCUUCUUUCCCCUCAGUAGUCAGGGCCUGGUCAAUGGUAGGGUAGUACCUUCCGCUGCCGCAAGAUACCUAUCCCAUAAGAUCUAUGAAGCAGAAAACCCUGGCUUGCUCUGUGCUCGGUUCCAGAUACUGUCCAGGAAUCUGUGUCCCUGAGUGGGGCAGACUGCCCCAGGCCAUGGGGUAAGCAAGGAAGCUCACAAAGAUGGCUCCCCCGUUCAUUCAUCAGCUGUGAUCAGUUCUGAGGAAUUCUGCUCCUAAGCUCGUGAGAGAAGGGAAUACCCUGCAGCCUCCUGGGGCUGUGCCACUGCUUGUUCUGGCCAUACUCCCGAUGCUCCGCUAGGAAAGGGGUGAGGGGGUGGGCUGCUUUCCAAGCAAAGAAAACGCACUCUAACAAGGUGGGGGGAGGGGCGCUGCACCUUUGGCUAAGCCUGGGGGAGGCUUAGGAGGAUCAGGGCAGGGGUUUUCCUGGGCUUGUCUAGGAGUCUUUGCAAGGUCAUGUUCCAGGUAACUUUGACCACAUCUCUUUGCACCAACAACAGAAACGAUGCAUCGAGGCAAUGAGGCCUUGGAAUUAAGGACUAUGACUAAACGCAAAAACUCGGACCCAAGCCUUGAACUCACUGGUUUCCCGAGGACAUCCCCCACCCACUUUUAUACCACGUGCCUUUUGCUAAGGGAACAAUUCUUUCCCGUGACGCACAUGCCCAGAGAGACCAGAAUCCCGCUCAUGGGCUUCCGCCACUGACGUCAUACCCUACUUCCGGGAAUCAUUGGUGGGAUGUGACUCAUGGAGCUUCAUUGCUCCGAGGGGGAUUUAGGGUGAGGGAGGGCGGAAGUUUGGUGGCCACUCCACCCCCCAAUACCAGACAACUGGCACCUUCAGUGCCCUUCCUGGCAGGCCCACGCAGUCACUCUGCGUGGUGGGGGAAUUCUUAGAGUCUAUCGGGACUGUUUCAGGGCCUCGCGGGGCUCUUAUGGGUCUUACAGAGCGUGGUAGGGCACGACUGGCUGGGGGUCAUCUGCGCAGGCGCCGCGGGCAUCACUGAGGACACGUGGCUUUUUCAACUGAAGCAGCAAUGACCGGGAUGAGGUUUUGGUACCCAGUGACGUGGGUUUCUUAUAUGUCAUCAGUUUUGCUGAGUCAUCUACAGUACUGUGUGAGGACAGCCGCCUCACAGGGUCUUCCAGUUAAAGGGGAGGUUUUUUUAGCCAAGGAUUUGGGCCUAGUCAGUCAACGUUGAGGAGUCAUUUGCGCAUGCGUUGAUGAGAUUGGGGACACGUGAUCUUAGCCUGAAGCGAUAGCAUUGCGCCAGUCUCUGAUGGGGCCAGUUUUUCCUACCUCCAUCAUCGCGGCGUUGUAAGGAACAAGUAAGAAUGGAACCCUUAAAGGCUGUGAAAGGGUUAGCCAUUACCGUUUAAACCAACAAGGGCAACAGUAUCUUCUCCAAACCACAUUUCUGGAAUUCUCAAUCAUGAGCAUCAACAUUUUCAAAACCCUUCUCCAUGAUAAAGAGUUACCCCGCUUCUUAAACUUAAUGAUCUUAAGGGUAAUGAAUUCCUACUCCUACGUUAUUUCCAAAAGCGUCUAUGUAGCUUUUCAGUGGUAAUAUGGGAGAAGGAUGGAAACCCUUCCAUACUCCAACUCCAGGAGAAGAGAGGAUUCUGGGUGUCUGCUCCUCAUGGUGAGUGGAAAUUUACAUUUUUUUUUUUUUUUUGCAGCAUUUGUUUUUUUUUUUUUUUUUUUUUUUUUAAUUUAAUAGCCUUUUAUUUACAGGAUAUAUGCAGACCCCCAGCCAGUCGUGCCCUACCACGCUCUGUAAGACCCAUAAGAGCCCCCCUCCCCCAGAUGGCAGGAUGACCAGUAGAUGGUAAGUACAUUAAAAUAUAAAUUAGAUACACAAUAAGUAUACAUGACCAAAACGUUAUUUUUGCAGCAUUUGUUACACAUAAUUCUGGAUUUCUUUCUGAAUUUGGGAUGACUUCCAGAUAGUCCAGUAAGACUUUGACUUCAGAUGGUCAAAAUGAUCUCUUGAAGUUGUUCUUUGGGAGGCAAUUGAAGGCACACAACUAAAGGGUUAAAUAUCUGAGGUUUUGAAUUCAGUUCCUCAACUCCAGGGCCAGUGCUAGUCCAUUGUGCCAUUUAUCUGUACCCUACCCCAUCCCCACCCCCAGCUUGUGAAACAGGAGUUGGCUCCUUGCUCACCACCUCUCAGUGAAAAUUUCCAAUGCUCCCUGAAAUGACUACAUCUAAAACCUAAACUUCCUACAAUGUUAAAAAUCCCAGUACUUACCUUCACACUUUACUCUAAAAAACCAUGAGUAUGUAUCAACUCUUACCACCCGUAGCCUCCUAAUGAGCAUCAUAAGUGUAACAAUACUUUAUCACAGUAGCUGUCUUAAAGGCAGUGGGACAGAAGGGAGCCAAAAUAUAAGGAUCAUCCUACUUCUAACAUAUCCAAGUGACUGAGAGGCAGUACCAAUGGGAAUUUUAAAGAAAUUAACAUUUCCGCUAGUUAUGGUUUUAGAACUGAAGAGAAAGUGGGGAUUUGUGGAACAAGCUUCAGGUUUCGCCUAGUGAGAAAUGUUGAGGAAAAGUGUUCCAGAUGUGCAUCCUGCUGAGAACUGAAGGUGGGAGGGAUCUGCUUGUCUCUUGUAAGAAUAUAUGUCUGGAAAACUCACUUGGCAAAGCUUUCCACUUUCCCUAAAGGAUUUUAACUCAUAAUCAUUCAGUAAAGAAAUAUGAUUACCGUAACCAAACCAGGUGGUGAAACAAAUUAAAAAAUAAAUACAAAUCAAUUUACCAUAUACCGUGCAAGACAAUGCCAACAAAAUUCCUUUUUUGAAGUUGAGCUUUGUCUCCCUGUGACAAAAUACACAUGAGUUUGGAAGUUUCAUUUGGGAGCAGGAUACGGAAAACUUUCUGGAAAAAUGUUUUAUUUGGUUCCUCUCAAGAUGACAGAUUAGAUUUUUAUAGCACAAAUGUUUUGCCCUUAAAUUACCAUAUCCAGUCACAUAGUUCUUUCAUGGACAGCCUGGGUGAUUUUGGACAGUCCACUUUUUCUUCAUAUAAGGAGAUAAACCAAAUUGUCAUUGGGAAACUGAAGAGAAAUCGUUGUUCAGGAACUAGUAUCCCCCUUCCUGUCUUCUCUAUAGAAACUUCCUGUACUUUAGUUAGAAUCUAUUUUAAAAGUUCUCCCUGAGUAGGAAACAAACAAACAAAAAACAGUAGCAAAACAUGCCUCUCUGCUGCAAAGCCAUUUAUAAAAACAAAACAAAGCCAAAAAGAACCCUUUUCCCCCCUUAUCCUUUGUACUCAGUAGUGUCAUUGUAGUAAUUAUGAGCAAAAGAGAAAGAUAACCACUGUUAUUCAUAUUUCAAUGGUCUGUCUCCUAAAAUUAUUUGUUCACAGUGGGCUUUUAGAGUCAUGAUAACACAACUUUAAGAGUCCACAAAUGGUAGUGGAGACAUUUAGAAUUUUUUUUUUCUAUUAUGAGAUACACUUAUUGCCAAACUGACUUACUCAUCACAGAAAGGGAAAAAUACCCCUCAAAUCCCAUGAAGAUUAAAAAAUCGUAAUAAAUUAAUUAUUUAUAAUAAUAAUAUAAGUAAUAAACUGUAGUAAAUGAGAGAGAGCAUUGGAGUCCAAGAAGUUCAGUUCUUCUGAUAUAGGUGACCCAGUGCAGGAAUUUUAACCUUUUACUGCUAUCCCUUCCCACUGCCAUCCCUUCCCCUGACCCUCCCAUCCCAGUUUCCUGAGAUUCUUAAAUUACAAAUUAGUCGUUGAUCUAAAUUGGUGGGCAGUUUUCACACCAGGAGUUCUCUAGAUGGAUCAAGGUCUGGACCACCUUCUUCCCUCCAGCUCCCUCAAAAUAACGAUUGAGAGCUUAGUGACUGUAAUUUGAUUUAUAAUAGUAGAAGAAAUGAUCACUUGAAAAGGCCAGGAUUUUAUCCAAAGUAUUGCUUAGUUCAAACUAGACAGAACCAAGAAAAAAUAAAUUAACAGACUAAUAUACUCAAUUCAUUUUUUGUUCGUUUGAUUUUUUUUUUUUUUGGAAAUCUGAAGAGACAUAGUGACCGAUUUCCCCUUUCCAGCCAAGACUACGUCUUUACAAAUUCCCUUUAUGUUAGACAAAAGAGUUCCCUAAAGAGCUCCCUAAAGGAGCCUUAAUUUUAAAAUGCAUUGAGAUAGGGGGAAAGAGAACAGUGGUAACCUGCUAGCUGAUGGUUGGUGUGAAGAGAGUUAAACAGGCUUGCCCAGCUUUCAGAGAAAACUCUUGAGUUACCCACCAGAUAUUAUUGCCUAUGUUCUUCUCAAACCCAACUUUUUCCACUCUCAGGUUCUACAACCCUUAUUACAUAUCAAGUUUGUGUCCUCCCACAAGCUGGGGGGUGGGGUGGGGGGAACUAACCCAGGAUUUCCAGUAUGUGCUUGGUCUGUUUGGCCAAAGGUGACUAACUUAGUGGACUGAGGUCGACCUCCCCCUCCCCCAAAUCAAUAAUUUAAUGUGACUUAUCAGAAAGAGAAAGAAUUGUUUACUUUAAAUCCCUGGAUCCCAUAAAGGGAGAGAGGGAAAGGCACACUGGGAACAGAAGCUGCAGAGGGCCUUGUUUCUGCCUCUGGGCUGCUGAAAGGCAAAGCAGGAGAAAGCUCUUUAGAGGGAUGCAUCUAGCUCUAAGAGAUGUGUGGAACGCCAAGGCCCAGUCACUGUUCAGAUCAGAAUCUGGGACAGACCCUGCAGAGGAGAAGCUCCCCACCAUGCAGCCACUCUUGGAGGUGGUAAGUGUCUCCUUAUAUCACUUUCUGUCCCUUGAGGUAAAGUAGAUUUUGCUUUGGGAGCAGGCACUGACACCAAACACUUUGGACAGGGAGAGGUGGUUAACAUUUCAGAAGACAAAACCUGGGUAGCAUCUGGGAUUCUAGGAAAAUGUGUUUGUCUUUCUGCUAAAAUGACUAAACUUUGAGGCCUUGAGGAGAAAGCAGGCAUCUGCCAUCUAAAGGGUUGGCGUUGCCUUCUCUAGGAAGGUAAAAGAAAUGAAGAAGGCAGCCAGAGCCAGUUGUUUGGAGUAUAAGAACUAGGGUCAAUUAAUGUUUCGCUAGCCCAGAUUUAACAAAAACCCAGCCUAGAAAGAAACAGGCAAAAUAAUAAAAGAAUUAAUAAACAAUAAACAUGCUCCCAUAAAAGAAAGGGUAAGUCCAGUACCUAAGGUUCCCUUGAUACUAUAUCUUUUGGGUUUAUCUUUUGAUUUUAUAAAAUACCAACCUCCACAGACAUUCUUCUUCUCUUCCUCUCUCACCUUUAAUUAUUCUGCAGAUAGUACUUAAGAAUAAUUAAGCAUCAGCACAGAAAUGAAAUUGGCUCACAAGAAUCACUAGGCAAACAGCCUUUCCCUUUCAAGUGUCAGCCACUCAAAUGAUAAUUUAUUGAGAACUCCUGUUAGCUCUUACAUUGGUGAUUGAUUUAAAGAACAGUUAGCAAGAGAUCUCAUGAGCUUAGAUCUGGUGGAAAGAAUGCAGAACCUAAAGUCAAGAGACCUGGGUUAAUAAUAACUACCUGCCUGCAGGGUUAUCAUGAGGAAAGUCCUAUAGAAACGCUGGUUAGCAUUCAUUGGUUUUAUUAUAGGAAUAUAUUUAUCUGCUAAGUCACAAAUGGGUUGUAGACUAUAUGGUGGAGAAUGAUAUACUCCCACAAAAUCAAAACUUCCUCAGAAAUCAUAGAUUGUAUCAUAGUUUUUUUGAGUUAGAGGGAGCCUUAUAGAUCAUCUAGGACAGUGGUUCUCAAAUUCUGGUCCAGAGCAUCCUGAGGAAUCUCUGAAAUCCUUUCAGAGAGUCUACAAAUUCAUAAUUGGUUUUUAUUUUUAAUGUGAUCAAUAUCUAUAAUUAUAACCCACAUAAACAAAAACUCUUUGGACAGAUCCUCAAUCAUUUUUAAUAGGAUAAAGAUAUUGAGAACAAAAGUUUGAGGACCACUGAUCUAGGACAACCAUUUCAUUAUAAGAAAUUGAGGCCCAAAGAGGUUAAGCUACUCAAACUCACAUAGGCAUAGAUCCAGCAUUUGAAUUCAUUUCUCUUGAUUUCUUAUUUAGUGUUCUUCACUUUUAUACCAUCCUGCCUGUCCAGGGAUAACCAUUUUAAGUUGGUAUGUUGAUUUUCCAUAUAGUGAGAAUAAAAAAAGUUUCAAUGAAUUUUGAAGGAGAAUACAUCAAGGUGGUAAUUUUCUUUGUGGCAUAUUUUAGUUCCGUUCAAGGAGCCAUGAUCUCCCUCAGGAUUCCUUCCAUUCACUCUGAUCACAGUUCCUCCUCACCUCAUAGUAGAUGAGCUUUAACAGAUUUAUUACUUGAUAGCCAGCCUUCUGAUCUGGACUUUCUGUCCCUAUCUAUGUUGAUUUUCUGUUAAUGCAUAACAUAGUCUUUCAGUGGGCCAGUAUUCAGUGUUUCCAACAUAGGAGACCUUGCUAAAGUUGAUAUUCGGGACACAGCAUUCAAGAGCCCAGUGUCAUCUCCAGCUAGCAACAGAAUAACUUUGGUAGAGGAGUUUCCUAAUUAUGUCAAAUUAAUAAAUCAAAUUUAAAAAACAAAACCAAACUAUUUCAUUAUCUACUUUGUAAGCUGAAAACCUUCACUUUACUGUACACUAGAAAUAAUGAUAUAACUAAUGAAAUUUAAAAUAGCAUACUUUUCAGUAGUUUUAUAUACAUGUAUAUUUCUGAAAAUGUGUGUAUGUAUAUUUGUAUAAGAUAUGUGUAUGUAUGUGUGCGUGUAUGAGUGUGUGUGUGUAUGUAUGUGUGUAUCUGAGAAGUCUACCAAAAGAACCUGCUGUAAUUUCAAACUCUGAAUCUUCAGACAUAACAAGAUUAUGCUGGAGGGGGAAAAAAAAGAUGAGUAUCAUCACUUUAUCAGUCAAAUGAAUGACUAAAUCCUUUCAAUGAACUGGAUUAGAAACUGAUUGGAGUUUAAUGCUUUCUCUUGUUUACUUUCUGUCUCUGUUUCUGUCUAUACACACACACACACACACACACACAGAGGAAUAAGAGCAUUCAAUAAACACUUUAACACUACCUUAAGGCCCUGGGAGUGCAAAGAAAAAGCAAAAAUAGUUCCAGCUCUCAGAGAACUUACAUUAUAGGAGUUUAUAUUUUGUAUUCUCACUUGAUCUUCUUAACAGCCCUGUGAAGUAAGUACUUGAACUAUUUUUAUUCACAUUUUACAGAUGAAAAAAGUGAAAUAAGCAACAAAGUGACUUUCUCAUGGUCAUAUAGUUUAAUCUUAUGUCAUAGGGGUGGAGUCUGAUACAGUUCUUUCCUCUAAAUCCAGUAUUUCUUUCACUAUCCUGCUUGCUUUAAUGCCUAUAGUACCAUCCCACCCCACCCCCAAAGCAUUGCAAGGAUCAUAAAAAAUAACAUGAAAAGUGUUUUUCGAACCUUAAAGCACUACAACAAUAGCAGCUAUUACCUCUGUUAUUAAUGCCAAAAAUAUUAAUAAUAAUAAAAGGUAAUCAUUUGAUAUUGUCGCAAAAAUUUUUAAAUGGCUAAAUAUAAAGUGCUGAGUUCAUAGCUGACAUUUUGUAAAUCUUUAUGAGUUGAUCAGAAAUCAGAGCAAUCAGAAAUCUUCCAUGAUCCAUCUGAAGAACUCUGGAGAAGUUACCCUGAAGAUAACAUCUUCUCCAAGAUGUCACCUUUUCAUGCUUAUUGAUGAAAGAAUAACCUUUGUCUAUUUUCUGAUUAGAACCUUCUGGAUCUUUGCUUUGAGGGUGGAGGGAAAAUGUCCAGUAGGAGGUUCAGGGUGGACAGCAAUGCUGAGAAUUGCUUCAUUUUGGGGUUUAUGAAGAAAUAGAAAAUUGGAAGAAUAGUAGGGAUUAAAGAAGAAAAGAUAGUAUAAACCUCAUUUUAACUUUGACUUUUCUUAGUUCUUAGUCCAGUUUCCCUUAUUAGAUUGCAAAUUCUUUCUUGUAUUUGCUUGUAUUUGUAAUUGCAAUACUUAGUACAAUGCUUGGCAUAACACUUACUAAAUGCACUCUUUCUGUCUUUCUCUGUCUGUUUCUCCCUCAAUUCUCAUCUCUUCUUCUUUUUCUUCCUUUGUAGAAUUCUUAAGAAGUGAUGAGCCACCCAGCGGGGACAGUAGAGAGAAGUUUAUACCUCCACUAUGGCCGAGGACUAUGAAAGAAAUAGAUCAAGAAAGAAGGAAAAAGAAAAGCUGAGAAAGAAAACACAAUGCAAGAAUGCUAUGUUAUAAUCCAUACUCAGUUCCCACAGUCCUCUCUCUGGGAGUAGAUGACUCUCUUCUUCACUGCACAAGUGGAACUGGUUUGAAUCAUCUCAUUGUUGAAGAGAGCCAUGUCCAUCAGAAUUGACCAUCAUAUAGUCUUGUUGUUGCCGUGUAUAAUGAUCUCCUGGCUCUGCUCAUUUCAUUUAACAUCAGUUCAUGUAAUGCAUAGAGAUCUGGAGACUUCCUUUUUGGUGGGUUCAUGGCAGUGCUGCCAUGUGGAAGUGCAACUAAUAUUCUUUGGGCUGUGUGUUAUCCUUGCCAGAGCUAUGGAGUGUGACAAUGGUGUUUGUGUCCAGUCUAUCAAACGCCAUUAUCACACUAAAUAGCUAUAGUUGGGUACUCCAUCUCUUCAGGGAAGAGCAUGUCAAGCAUCGAGUCAUCUGCUGAAGAUGGACAAAACUGUUACUCUUACUUUAAUGCCCUGUUCAUUCAUGGAUACCAAAGAAAUUGCCAAAAUGGUGGCUCAUAAAAGGGUAUAUUCUUUCAGAGGCAGAAUUUUCUCAACUUUGCCUUUUACCCUUUGCUAUAAAUGGAUGUUUUCCUGAAGGAUGUAAGCUCCUUGAGGGCAGAGAUUAUUUUGUUUUAAUUUUCAUCUUUGUAUCCAUAGCCUAUCACUGCAUCUAGUACUAAUAAUCUUUAAUAAAUGUUUGUUGAAUUGAAUAUAUUUCUGAGUCCCUAAAGAAGAUGCAUACCAUCCCACAGGAUUUAGCAUGCUGCUAGACACAGUGGAUCCAACAAUAAAUAUUUCUUGAAAUGCAGUAGCAAGGAGGGAAUGGAUAAAGGGAAAAGAAAUCAUCUGGGAUAUGCAAAUAAUUUAUUAUUUACAUAGAAAGUAAAGUAUUUGCCUUUUUUCUUUUCAUUAUGGAAUUCCUUUCAAAAGCACACGGUAAUAAACUUACAUUUGGUCUAAUUGACCUCCUAGAAAUGUUAGUGCACAUGUUUGACUCCUAACAAUUUUAUUCAAUUACAGUGAUGAUUGCUAUAUAUGUAUGCACGAUUCCCCCUUCCCUAAUGUAUCCUUUAAUUAUCCAUUAUGUUGAACUGCUGAAAACAACUUUUGAAAUUGUUAGCUCUUGUGGCCUAUUUAAUAAUUGAACUCAGCAGAGUUGAAAUGCAAUAGAGGUAAAGGGGGUUGGUUCUUAUAUCCUAAACAAGGAGAGGAUCAGAAGGUGUACUGGCUUAAAAUAAUUUGAAUUAAUCAACUGCAUGAUAGCCCAAGUUGGGCUUUUUCCUCAGAAUCCAGUUAUUAGGACUAAAUUCUUGACACUGGAUCAUGUUUUGUGUAUGAGGCAAACUGAUGGUAUAUGCAGUUUUUCAGUUUCCAGUUGUCCUGGAAAUGGAGACUAUAAUCAUACAAAGAAACUCCAGAAUACCUGAUGAGUGAUUAAAAACAAAAAGAAAGAAAUGGAAUAGUGGAAAGAACACCAGACCAAGAGAGAGGAAUUCUUUCUUUAAGGAAGUCAUUAAAUCUCUUUUGGCUUCCUGGAGCAGCAAGGUGGGUAACACAGUGAAUAAAUAAAGGGCCUGACCUAAAGUAAAGAAGACCUGAGUUCAAAUCCAGCCUACUUAUUAACUGUGACCUGGAAAAGUCAUUUAGUCCUACUUGUCUCAGUUUCUCAUCUGUAAAAUGAGCUGGAGCAGGAAAUGGCAAACGACAUGAGUAUCUUUAUCCCCUAAAAUGGAGUCACAAAGAGUCAGACAUGAUUGAAAUAAUUGAACAAUAACAAAAAUGGAAGGCCAGCCUAGAUGAUCUCUUAAGUUAUAAUUCUAACAAUCUCUGAAUCUAAGUAAUACCAUUAGUCAAAUGAAUAAAAUUUACAAAAUAAUUCAUUAAGGAAUUUUGAAAACCUUAAUGAAAAUACCUUAAUGAAGAGAUUAUCUUCAGUACAUUUAGUAAAAAAGAAAAAAAAUUGCAUUAAUGGUUUACAAAUAUCACAUUUCAAAGAAAUGAGUUUGUUUAUUUAGAGGACAAAAAUACAAAUCCAAAGAACAGAGCUUAUGGAACUGGAAGCAAGGAAGGAAAAAGAGGGAGUAAAUAAAAAAAAGGAUAUGACACUAUUCCAAUCCACUAUAAUGGUUUUGGGGUUUUUCACAGGGGAGAGACUCACCAGCCAAUGAUACUGCUAAAAGCAAGAGAUCUUUAAUUUGAUACAUUUUCAGCUUCCCCAAGGGAAGAUUUAAGGUCUAAGGGAACACCUAGCAAUGGGAACAAAUAAGGGGAGGACAGAAGCAACUCAGGAGGGAUACAACCAUAUUUGUAAUAACAGUAUUUAGGCCACAGCAGGAUAAGAAAAGAAGUUCAAGGAUGUGAGUGAAGAGGAUAUAUGUUGUCCUUUGUAUACUUAGCUUUGCUUCUACAUAAGAUAGCUAAGAUCUUGUCUCCAUCAGGGAAGCACACCAGCUCUUCCCACCCUUCUAAAACUAGGUGGGGAUCAACACAGGUCAAUUCUCUAUACAAAAGUAUUUUCAUAGAUUAGGAUGGUCAGCCAAUGAGAAGAGUCAAAGAAAAUUCAAAUUGCCAGAGAAACAACAAAACAAAGCAGAAGAGGGAAGGGUGAGUUCUUGCUCAUACCUGGCUGAUUGAUCUCCUUCAUUUGCUGUCAUAUAUAACAGAUGCUAAUUAACCAGGUGGAGUAUGGGCAUAGAAGAUUAUAAAAGAGGGAAGGGGCCAGGCUGGACGAAGAGUUGUGUCUGAAGCACAUAUAGCUUGUUUCAAGAAAUACUGGAUUCAUCUGCAUCCAAAAAGAGAACUAUGGAGAUUGAAUGUAAAUCAAUACAUGCUAUCUUCGCUUCUUUUUUUUCUGUUUUUUUCCUUGUGGUUUUUCCCUUUUGUUCUGAUUUUUCUCUCCCAACAUGAUUCACAAAGAAAUGUGUAUUUAAAAAGUUAAUACACAUGAAUAAACAGAAAAAAAAAGCAAUAAAGAAAAAAAGACUGGACCCCCCAAAAAAGAGAGGAGUGUGAGGAUACAUGUAUAUGUAUAUAUUCUGUGAAUUAAUAACUAUCAUAGAUGUAGGAAGGGAAAGUUUAAGUUUGGUCCUUAACUAUUGAAAUUCACCUUGUCAAAUGACUUCUCAUCUAAUUAAAUUCCCUUUAUUUUUUUCAAUUUUGAUAUCUUCUUUUCCGAUUCAUUGAUGUGUC
RNAcentral lists this long non-coding RNA (14124 nucleotides) under Sarcophilus harrisii (Tasmanian devil). RNAcentral describes it as "lncRNA (ENSSHAG00000022881.1)". The stretch from base 11245 to 11317 matches the Rfam family "mir-122 microRNA precursor family". The record is from RNAcentral. Lineage: Eukaryota; Metazoa; Chordata; Mammalia; Dasyuromorphia; Dasyuridae.